Molecule: long non-coding RNA, 930 nt
Filed under: Nicotiana benthamiana
Lineage: Eukaryota; Viridiplantae; Streptophyta; Magnoliopsida; Solanales; Solanaceae
Description: long non-coding RNA (NBEN_LNC004739)
Source: RNAcentral
CUCCUACUCAUAAGCCAUAAAAUAAGCUUUGUGUUAUUUUUCUCUCCACCCUUAAAUUUAUUGUAUCCCCUACCCCAUAUCUAUUUUUCCUCUCUCUAUCAUCUUCCACCUUAAGAUUUUCAACAGUCCUGUCCUAACACAAGAAAACAUCACCUAUUUAAAUUUAAAACAAAAAUCUGCAACUGAAGCUGUUCAACCCUUUAGAAGCUGUUCAAUUGAAGUUGUUCAAGUCAAUAUCUUUCUGAGUUGAUUUGAGAUUUCAAAAAGUGAGGCAAGGCAAGAAAAAUCUACAUCUGAACUUGAAUUAGAAUUGAAAGGCUUAAGGCUAGGGCACAAUGAGUAGAAAUAGCGAUUUUCUCCUUUUGGAGUAGAAAUUAAGAGGAAAAGAGGGAAUAUGGGGAAAAUGGACCUUUUCUUUUUUGGAUUCUUGAUUUGGUUCUACUUAUCCUCCAGCUCAUCCUACAGAUUUUGAUACUGCUUCAAGCUCACAGCCGCCGCCGUGGACUACUUGUGGCCACGAUGCUUGUAAAUUUUGUCAAGAUUGUGGACUGUUGACUACGGAUCCGACGGCUUCUAUUUUAAAGAAAAGGUUUUUUGAAGCAGAGAUGAGGGUAUUAUGGUACCAUGAAUAGUGGAGUUUCGAGUAAGAAUCGCGGCUCUCUCGACGAGACGACAUUAGGGUUAUUCUUGAACAAAGACGACGGAGUUUGGGUCAGAGCAACUUGAAUUUUCUGUUAAUAUAUUUCAGUGUAUCUCGCUGUAUUUUCAUGUAUUUCAUUGUAUUCAUUGUUUUUUUUUCAUUGUAUUUUAAUGUAUCCCGAUGUAUUCUAUAUAUUUUAUUGUAUUCACCAUUUCAUUAUAUGCCAUGAAUGUAUUCAUAAGUUGUUUUAAUUAAUAUAAUUUAUGUACAUAUGUAUUAUAUAAUUUCUC